Molecule: ribosomal RNA, 253 nt
Filed under: uncultured bacterium
Lineage: Bacteria
Description: partial 16S ribosomal RNA
Rfam family: Bacterial small subunit ribosomal RNA
Source: RNAcentral
UACGGAGGGGGCUAGCGUUAUUCGGAAUUACUGGGCGUAAAGCGCACGUAGGCGGACCGGAAAGUCAGAGGUGAAAUCCCAGGGCUCAACCUUGGAACUGCCUUUGAAACUUCUGGUCUUGAGGUCGUGAGAGGUGAGUGGAAUUCCGAGUGUAGAGGUGAAAUUCGUAGAUAUUCGGAGGAACACCAGUGGCGAAGGCGACUUACUGGACUGUAACUGACGCUGAGGCAUGAAAGCGUGGGGAGCAAACAGG